RNAcentral lists this ribosomal RNA (459 nucleotides) under uncultured bacterium. RNAcentral describes it as "partial 16S ribosomal RNA". It matches the Rfam family "Bacterial small subunit ribosomal RNA", at positions 338 to 795 of the family's 1533-position model. The record is from RNAcentral.
CCUACGGGUGGCAGCAGUGAGGAAUAUUGGUCAAUGGGCGGAAGCCUGAACCAGCCAAGUAGCGUGCGGGAUGAAGGCCCUACGGGUCGUAAACCGCUUUUGCACGGGGAUAACACCCUCCACUUGUGGAGGUCUGCAGGUACCAUGCAAAUAAGGGCCGGCUAAUUCCGUGCCAGCAGCUGCGGUAAUACGGAAGGCCCGAGCGUUAUCCGGAUUCAUUGGGCUUAAAGGGAGCGUAGGCGGUCGUUCAAGUCAGCUGUAAAAGUGGGCGGCUCAACCGAGCACUGCAGUUGAAACUGGAAGUCUUGAGUUCACAACAGGCAGGCGGAAUUCGUGGUGUAGCGGUGAAAUGCAUAGAUAUCACGAGGAACCCCGAUUGCGAAGGCAGCCUGCCGGGGUGCGACUGACGCUGAGGCUCGAAGGUGCGGGUAUCAAACAGGAUUAGAUACCCCUGUAGUC